RNAcentral lists this ribosomal RNA (484 nucleotides) under uncultured bacterium. RNAcentral describes it as "partial 16S ribosomal RNA". It matches the Rfam family "Bacterial small subunit ribosomal RNA", at positions 30 to 507 of the family's 1533-position model. The record is from RNAcentral.
AUUGAACGCUGGCGGCAGGCCUAACACAUGCAAGUCGAGCGGAUGAAGGGAGCUUGCUCCUGGAUUCAGCGGCGGACGGGUGAGUAAUGCCUAGGAAUCUGCCUGGUAGUGGGGGAUAACGUCCUGAAACGGGCGCUAAUACCGCAUACGUCCUGUGGUAGAAAGUGGGGGAUCUUCGGUUCUCUCGCUAUCAUAUGAGCCUAGGUCGGAUUAGCUAGUUGGUGGGGUAAAGGCCUACCAAGGCGACGAUCCGUAACUGGUCUUAGAGGAUGAUCAGUCACACUGGCAGUGAGACACGGUCCCGACUCCUACGGGAGGACGCAGUGGGGAAUAUUGGGCAAUGGGCGAAAGCCUGAUCCAGCCAUGCCGCGUGUGUGCAGAAGGACUUCGGAUUGUAAAGCACUUUAAGUUGGAGGGAAGGGAAGUAAGUUAAUCCCUUGCUGUUUUGACGUUACCAACAGAAUAAGCACCGGCUAACUUCGUG